Molecule: non-coding RNA, 84 nt
Organism: Trichonephila clavipes
Lineage: Eukaryota; Metazoa; Arthropoda; Arachnida; Araneae; Nephilidae
Source: the annotation of a GenBank genome assembly
UGCAGCUUGGCCGAGUGGUUUAGGCGAUGGACUUGAAAUCGAUUGGGAUCUGCCCACGUAGGUUCGAAUCCUGACGGCUGCUAA